Molecule: ribosomal RNA, 597 nt
Filed under: uncultured Parvimonas sp.
Lineage: Bacteria; Bacillati; Bacillota; Tissierellia; Tissierellales; Peptoniphilaceae
Description: bacterial SSU rRNA
Rfam family: Bacterial small subunit ribosomal RNA
Source: RNAcentral
GAUGAACGCUAACGGAAUGCUUAACACAUGCAAGUCAAGGGAGAGGUUGUCUUCUUAACUCCAAUUUGGGUGGCGGACUGCUGAGUAACUAUACAAUCUGCCUUUUCAUAGGGAUAGACCGAUUAAAUUUGGAUUGCUCCUACCGGAUUAUAAGAUUUUAAUCGUCUUUAUAUUUAAGCUACCUAGGUGAAAUAUGAGAAAGCUUUCUAUCCCCUUAUUGGAGAGGAAACGGCUCCCCUCGGCGACGAUAUAAUGGGGUUCCGACCUGAAAGGCCGACCCGCCGCUACGGGACUGAGACCCAGACCCCUCCCCUACGGGACGCUGCGGUGGGGAGUAUUGUGCUCUGAACCCUGAUUCUGACCCGCCACUUCUGUGUGCAAGAUCACAUUUUUUGUAAUGUGCUUUGCUUUCGGUUGAAAAAAGAAAAAUGACGGUUUGAUGACGGUACCUGACGGCUAAAUAUCUGCCAACUCCGCGCCAAUACCUAUGUCACUACCGAUGACCCGAUUUAUUGCCCGAAUCAUUGGGCUUGGUGGGUCUGUAAGUCUGAUGAUAAAACGCAGGUGACAACUCUGAAUUGCACUAAACACCUGCCU